Molecule: long non-coding RNA, 1452 nt
Organism: Cynoglossus semilaevis (tongue sole)
Lineage: Eukaryota; Metazoa; Chordata; Actinopteri; Pleuronectiformes; Cynoglossidae
Exons: 3
Source: RefSeq, a predicted model, not a curated record
UGUAGGGGAGGUGGGUGUGUGUGUGUGGGGGGGGGGUACACUGUGAUCCACACUCACCCCAGUAUUUGUGUGGGAAACUGAAAGUGUGUGUUUUUUUGUGGUUUGAAAAGCUGCAGUGUGUGUCCAUACUGUGUCAGUCUGGUUCUGUCCAGGCCGCAGCUGCUCAGAUCUGCUCUGGAUCCUGGACUCUACAAGUGUGACAGCCCAAGGCCUGGAGCAGGACUCAAGGACACCCGGAUUUGGCCAGUGAAUCCCGUUCCUCCUGGCACAUCCUCUCCGCACUUCCGUCAGACUGAAUGGGAAGCGUGUGUGAACUGCCAUCAUCAGGUCUCCUCGCAGAUGUUUCUGUAAGGCUCAUAAUAAAGUCUGGACUUUGUCGGCACGGGCCACUCAAGGACAGUCGGGAACCAUAAAAGUCCUGAAGACACGUGAGUCUUGUUGCGUUCGAUUACAAGCUCAGGUUUCCUGUGAAAACCUCACAUGAUUUAGGAUUGGGGUUUAUUUUUUUUAUGCAUUGUUGCCGUUGCUGAUCCGCUCCCAUCCAGGCGAGCCUUCGGGGGUUCUAGAAGCUCUGGAGGGUCUGUGGGACUCAUUUAGCCUGAUAGCAUGCUACCAACCAUGCAAUAUCUCCUUGCUGCACAACAAACAACCACACUGGUUUGACCUGAACUGAAUUUUUCUACCUCUUCUCUCUUGAAUACAGCAACACUGACCUACCUACUGUACCUACUACUCCUGGUUGUCCAUGAGAGGUCAGACGGAGCCAAAGAGCAUCAGUGUGAGACAUCAUCUCACAGCUGGUGCACAGAUGGCUGGAGCUGAUACACACUGGCAUGACACUCUCUCAUCCGCACUGUGUAUACGUCGAGAAAGAAGGGGCCAGAGCCAAGGCAGCUGCUAACUGCAGUGUCUGUUGUUGUAGAAAUGUCUGUUUUUGCCCUGAUUAUCAUCAAACACUGGGCUCCACACUAAACCGGUGCAAUGUUAAUGUUGAUACAAAGACAAACUGCAAACACAGAGGUGGUAAUGUGUUUCUAACCACAUGGCCCUGUGUCAUUUGUUCACGUGAGGAUUUAUGGAUGAGUUUUAUGAGGAAUAAAAAUGAGAAUUUAAAGUAGCCGUGACAUGCUAGUGGGGGAAGUACAUAUAAACAAACCAAAAAAAAAGAGGAAAGAUACAAAGAGCGGGACAGCUAGCAGAUCAGUUAGGUUAGCUCAAAUCAACUACAAAUAAGUAGCUAGUAACAAAAUAGCCAAAGCAGUAGUUGUAGUAGUAAUAGUAGUAGUAGUAGUAGUAGUAGUAGUAAUAGUAGUAGUAGUAGUAGUAGUAGUAGUGCAAUAUAACUUUAAAAAAGUGAACAAUCUGAGUUAGCUUGUGUAUGUGUAAACAUAAGUGUAGGCAAAGCAAAUGCUAAAUCAAGCAAAGAGAAUAUAUAAGAAACUUAUAGAAAUA